This 497-nucleotide ribosomal RNA is filed under the name uncultured bacterium. RNAcentral's name for it is "partial 16S ribosomal RNA". It matches the Rfam family "Bacterial small subunit ribosomal RNA", at positions 28 to 507 of the family's 1533-position model. The record is from RNAcentral.
GACGAACGCUGGCGGCGUGCCUAAUACAUGCAAGUUGAGCGAUGAAGAUUGGUGCUUGCACCAAUUUGAAGAGCAGCGAACGGGUGAGUAACGCGUGGGGAAUCUGCCUUUGAGCGGGGGACAACAUUUGGAAACGAAUGCUAAUACCACAUAAUAACUUUAAACAUAAGUUUUAAGUUUGAAAGAUGCAAUUGCAUCACUCAAAGAUGAUCCCGCGUUGUAUUAGCUAGUUGGUGAGGUAAAGGCUCACCAAGGCGAUGAUACAUAGCCGACCUGAGAGGGUGAUCGGCCACAUUGGGACUGAGACACGGCCCAAACUCCUACGGGAGGCAGCAGUAGGGAAUCUUCGGCAAUGGACGAAAGUCUGACCGAGCAACGCCGCGUGAGUGAAGAAGGUUUUCGGAUCGUAAAACUCUGUUGGUAGAGAAGAACGUUGGUGAGAGUGGAAAGCUCAUCAAGUGACGGUAACUACCCAGAAAGGGACGGCUAACUACGUG